This 465-nucleotide ribosomal RNA is filed under the name uncultured bacterium. RNAcentral's name for it is "partial 16S ribosomal RNA". It matches the Rfam family "Bacterial small subunit ribosomal RNA", at positions 28 to 507 of the family's 1533-position model. The record is from RNAcentral.
GACGAACGCUGGCGGCGUGCUUAACACAUGCAAGUCGAACGGAAAGGCCCCUUCGGGGGUACUCGAGUGGCGAACGGGUGAGUAACACGUGAGUAACUUGCCCUUGACUUCGGGAUAAAUUCAGGAAAAUGGGGCCAAUAACGGCAAGGAAUCUUUGCUGCAUGGUGGGGGUUGGAAAGCUUCGGCGGUGUUGGAUGGACUGGCGGCGUAUCAGCUUGUUGGUGGGGUAGUGGCUUACCAAGGCGUUGAUGGGUAGCUGGUCUGAGAGGGCGAGCGGCCACAUUGGGUCUUAGGGGCGGCACAAGCGCCUACGGGAGGCAGCUGGGGGGAAGAUUGCACAAGCGGCGCAAGGCGGAUGCAGCAGCGCCGCGUACUGGAUGACGGCCUACGGGUUGUAAACCGCUUGCAGCAGGGGCGAAGCUUGUGGUGACGUUACCUGCAGAAGAAGCACCGGCUAACUACGUG